UGGGGAAGAAACCCUGGUUCUUGGGAUUGGGGACGUGAGCUGCGGCGGCGGCACUAGGGGUUUCUGUUAGAGUGCUGGAACCAGGGGUUUCGAACGGCAUGGUUUUGCUCAGUGAUGCAUUCGCUGAAACGAGUGCAACGGCGUUAGAGGUGUCCUUGAUUUCAAUCGAGGAAGAAGGGUUGAGCCAGAGUGAGGAAGGGUCGUUCUCGCCCUGAUUCAACGGCCAGAAACCCGCGUCUGGGUUGUUGAAGUUGAACAAAUCCCGCACUUUCUUCAUGAGAUCGGAGUUCUGGAAAAUCACCUCCGUAGAAGCCAGCUCAACGACGCCGUUUGCGGACGGUAUG
Molecule: long non-coding RNA, 344 nt
Filed under: Phaseolus vulgaris (common bean)
Lineage: Eukaryota; Viridiplantae; Streptophyta; Magnoliopsida; Fabales; Fabaceae
Description: long non-coding RNA (PVUL_LNC004268)
Source: RNAcentral